This 494-nucleotide ribosomal RNA is filed under the name bacterium enrichment culture clone Cont784_3132. RNAcentral's name for it is "bacterial SSU rRNA". It matches the Rfam family "Bacterial small subunit ribosomal RNA", at positions 8 to 525 of the family's 1533-position model. The record is from RNAcentral.
AGAGUUUGAUCAUGGCUCAGGAUGAACGCUGGCGGCGUGCUUAAUACAUGCAAGUCGAACGGAGACAUUAGCAAUAAUGUUUUAGUGGCGAACGGGAGAGUAACGCGUAGGUGACCUGCCCCGAAGUGGGGGAUAACUGCCCGAAAGGGUGGCUAAUACCGCAUGUGGCGACGUGUCCAUUCACGUCAUCAAAGCCGCGAGGCGCUUCGGGAGGGGCCUGCGUCCGAUUAGCUCGUUGGUGGGGUAACGGCUCACCAAGGCGACGAUCGGUAGGUGGUCUGAGAGGACGAUCACCCAGACUGGGACUGAGACACGGCCCAGACUCCUACGGGAGGCAGCAGUCGGGAAUUUUGCGCAGUGGGCGAAAGCCUGACGCAGCAACGCCGCGUGGGGGAUGAAGGCCUUCGGGUUGUAAACCCCUUUUAGGAGGGACGAAAAUGACGGUACCUCCAGAAAAAGCCCCGGCCAACUACGUGCCAGCAGCCGCGGUAAUA